Long non-coding RNA from Lynx canadensis (Canada lynx), 217 nucleotides. RefSeq lists it as uncharacterized. The record is from RefSeq and is a predicted model, not a curated record. The transcript has 3 exons. NCBI's taxonomy places the organism in Eukaryota, Metazoa, Chordata, Mammalia, Carnivora, Felidae.
CUGUGAAAAGCAGAGGCAGCACCGGGAAGGGGGAAAGAGGGGUGUGUGGCAAGGGAGCAGAGGACAGCAGCCACUGUAUGACAGCAAGUGUCUUGAUAAAUGGGACCGUCAAACCUAACCUCAGAGAUGCAGAGGCUGGGCUACAGCACCAAGCACCAGCCUACCAGGAGAGAGAACCCCACAGUGACUUUUCUUGCUCAGACAAGGAUAUGAAUUA